CCUACGGGAGGCUGCAGUGGGGAAUAUUGGACAAUGGGGGCAACCCUGAUCCAGCCAUGCCGCGUGUGUGAAGAAGGCCCUCGGGUUGUAAAGCACUUUCAGUGAGGAAGAACGCCUGGUGGUUAAUACCCAUCAGGAAAGACAUCACUCACAGAAGAAGCACCGGCUAACUCCGUGCCAGCAGCCGCGGUAAUACGGAGGGUGCGAGCGUUAAUCGGAAUUACUGGGCGUAAAGCGCGCGUAGGUGGCUUGAUAAGCCGGUUGUGAAAGCCCCGGGCUCAACCUGGGAACGGCAUCCGGAACUGUCAAGCUAGAGUGCAGGAGAGGAAGGUAGAAUUCCCGGUGUAGCGGUGAAAUGCGUAGAGAUCGGGAGGAAUACCAGUGGCAAAGGCGGCCUUCUGGACUGACACUGACACUGAGGUGCGAAAGCGUGGGUAGCAAACAGGAUUAGAUACCCCUGUAGUC
This 465-nucleotide ribosomal RNA is filed under the name Vreelandella stevensii. Its description in RNAcentral is "partial 16S ribosomal RNA". It matches the Rfam family "Bacterial small subunit ribosomal RNA", at positions 338 to 795 of the family's 1533-position model. The record is from RNAcentral. Lineage: Bacteria; Pseudomonadati; Pseudomonadota; Gammaproteobacteria; Oceanospirillales; Halomonadaceae.